Non-coding RNA from Triticum aestivum (bread wheat), 118 nucleotides. NCBI's taxonomy places the organism in Eukaryota, Viridiplantae, Streptophyta, Magnoliopsida, Poales, Poaceae. The record is from Rfam.
UGUCUACUCCCUCCGUCCGUAAAUACUUGUCGCAGAGUAUUUAGACGUAUUUAAGUUCUAGAUACAUCUAUUUUUAUUCAUUUCUCCGACAAGUAUUUCCUGACGGAGGGAGUACGAC